GCUGCACAGCUAUUUUCAGGUCUCUCCAGAGAUGUUCGAUCGGGUUCAAGUCCGGGCUCUGGCUGGGCCACUCAAGGACAUUCAAAGACUUGCCCCAUAGCCACUCCUACGUUCUCUUACCUGUUACCUGUUCAACGCCCAUAACACCCUCACACACAUUACCACCAACAGGUAACACACACACACUCUGACAUUACCACCAACAGGUAACACACACACUCUGACAUUACCACCAACAGGUAACACACACACUCUGACAUUACCACCAACAGGUAACACACACUCUCACAUUACCACCAACAGGUAACACACACACUCUCACAUUACCACCAACAGGUAACACACACACUCUGACAUUACCACCAACAGGUAACACACACACUCUCACAUUACCACCAACAUGUAACACACACACUCUCAUAUUACCACCAACAGGUAACACACACACUCUCACAUUACCACCAACAGGUAACCCACACACUCUGACAUUACCACCAACAGGUAACACACACACUCUCACAUUACCACCAACAUGUAACACACACACUCUCACAUUACCACCAACAGGUAACACACACACUCUGACAUUACCACCAACAGGUAACACACACACUCUCACAUUACCACCAACAGGUAACACACAC
Molecule: long non-coding RNA, 644 nt
Filed under: Salmo salar (Atlantic salmon)
Lineage: Eukaryota; Metazoa; Chordata; Actinopteri; Salmoniformes; Salmonidae
Description: lncRNA (ENSSSAG00000100172.1)
Source: RNAcentral